GCAUCCGUAGCUCAGCUGGAUAGAGUACUCGGCUACGAACCGAGCGGUCGGAUGUUCGAAUCCUCCCGGAUGCACCA
This 77-nucleotide transfer RNA is filed under the name Salmonella enterica. Its description in RNAcentral is "tRNA-Arg". It matches the Rfam family "tRNA". Rfam says of the family: Transfer RNA (tRNA) molecules are approximately 80 nucleotides in length. Their secondary structure includes four short double-helical elements and three loops (D, anti-codon, and T loops). Further hydrogen bonds mediate the characteristic L-shaped molecular structure. tRNAs have two regions of fundamental functional importance: the anti-codon, which is responsible for specific mRNA codon recognition, and the 3' end, to which the tRNAs corresponding amino acid is attached (by aminoacyl-tRNA synthetases). tRNAs cope with the degeneracy of the genetic code in two manners: having more than one tRNA (with a specific anti-codon) for a particular amino acid; and 'wobble' base-pairing, i.e. permitting non-standard base-pairing at the 3rd anti-codon position. Lineage: Bacteria; Pseudomonadati; Pseudomonadota; Gammaproteobacteria; Enterobacterales; Enterobacteriaceae. RNAcentral also lists the same sequence under 1 other name. The record is from RNAcentral.